UCAAAAAUCAGUUCAGAUUGCAAGUAUUUAAGAAUAUGAAGGUCUCCCCUUGGAAAAUUGUUCUCCCUCUACAAUGUUGAAGAUUUAUUUGUAUGUAUUUUACUUGUUAUUUCUUGAUGGAAAAUUUGUUCAAGUUACAUCCUUGUACCUGAUUUAUUAACAAGGAUCUUCCAAACUAGUUUAUACACAAGUUUGGUGGCAUUUAUAGACACCAAAAGGAAAAAGGCAGCCAGGGGCAGAGAUUCAAAAUUCAGAAGAACUGUGGG
RNAcentral lists this long non-coding RNA (266 nucleotides) under Phoenix dactylifera (date palm). RNAcentral describes it as "long non-coding RNA (PDAC_LNC021568)". The record is from RNAcentral. Lineage: Eukaryota; Viridiplantae; Streptophyta; Magnoliopsida; Arecales; Arecaceae.